UACGAAGGGGGCUAGCGUUGUCCGGAUUUAUUGGGCGUAAAGAGCGUGUAGGCGGCCAGGUAGGUCCGUUGUGAAAACUCGAGGCUCAACCUCGAGACGUCGGCGGAAACCCUCUGGCUAGAGUCCGGAAGAGGAGAGUGGAAUUCCUGGUGUAGCGGUGAAAUGCGCAGAUAUCAGGAAGAACACCCGUGGCGAAGGCGGCUCUCUGGGACGGUACUGACGCUGAGACGCGAAAGCGUGGGGAGCGAACAGG
This 253-nucleotide ribosomal RNA is filed under the name uncultured bacterium. RNAcentral describes it as "partial 16S ribosomal RNA". It matches the Rfam family "Bacterial small subunit ribosomal RNA", at positions 524 to 776 of the family's 1533-position model. The record is from RNAcentral.